RNAcentral lists this ribosomal RNA (439 nucleotides) under uncultured bacterium. RNAcentral's name for it is "partial 16S ribosomal RNA". It matches the Rfam family "Bacterial small subunit ribosomal RNA", at positions 339 to 795 of the family's 1533-position model. The record is from RNAcentral.
CUACGGGUCGCUGCAGUGGGGAAUAUUGGACAAUGGGGGCAACCCUGAUCCAGCAAUUCCGCGUGGAUGAUGAAGGUUUUCGGAUCGUAAAGUCCUUUUAGUUGGGAAGAUAGUGACGGUACCAACAGAAAAAGCACCGGCUAAUUACGUGCCAGCAGCCGCGGUAAGACGUAAGGUGCAAGCGUUAUCCGGAAUUACUAGGCGUAAAGGGCAUCUAGGCGGCUAUAUAAGUCAGAGGUGAAAAGUCUGGGCUCAACCGAGGCCUUGCCUUUGAUACUGUAUAGCUAGAGUACGGGAGAGGAGGGCGGAACUACAAGUGUAGAGGUGAAAUUCGUAGAUAUUUGUAGGAAUGCCGAUUACGAAGGUAGCUCUCUGGACCGAUACUGACGCUAAAGUGCGAAAGCUAGGGGAGCAAACAGGAUUAGAUACCCCCGUAGUC